UUGGUAGAGCGGUGGACUGUAAGAUGCUCCUUGUGUGAAACGCCGUGAUCCUAAGCUCGCUGGUUCAACUCUAGCUCCAAGCACCUCCUUGUCAUUGGAAAUACCCCCAAGCCUUGUCUUUAUCUGUCAACUCCUCCAAAAUGUCAAAACACAAAGAAGAUAACUCUUUCUUAAAUUUUCAACCAUCAAUUUUUUAUUCACCCAGCCUAAAAGUCCUGAUUAUCAGUUCUGGGUCCCGGGCAAUGACUGUUGGGUACAAACUGCAAAGCUUUGUUCUGCAGGUAGGGCUGGGCUUUUCAUUGACCAUGGGUUGGAAUAGUUCUGUGGGCAUAGUGUGUCUUCGAAGCCACUAUGUUUUCUGCACUUGUGACUAGAGAGCACCUUGAUAGCUCAGUUGGUAGAGCGGUGGACUGUAAGAUGCUCCUUGUGUGAAACGCCGUGAUCCUAAGGUCGCUGGUUCAACUCCAGCUCGAAAGCACCUCCUUGUCAUUGGAAAUACCCCCCAAGCCUUGUCUUUAUCUGUCAACUCCUCCAAAAUGUCAAAACACAAAGAAGAUUACUCUUUCUUAAAUUUUCAACCAUCAAUUUUUUAUUCACCCAGCCUAAAAGUCCUGAUUAUCAGUUCUGGGUCCCUGGCAAUGACUGUUGGGUACAAACUGCAAAGCUUUGUUCUGCAGGUAGGGCUGGGCUUUUCAUUGACCAUGGGUUGGAAUAGUUCUGUGGGCAUAGUGUGUCUUCGAAGCCACUAUGUUUUCUGCACUUGUGACUAGAGAGCACCUUGAUAGCUCAGUUGGUAGAGCGGUGGACUGUAAGAUGCUCCUUGUGUGAAACGCCGUGAUCCUAAGGUCGCUGGUUCAACUCCAGCUCCAAGCACCUCCUUGUCAUUGGAAAUACCCCCAAGCCUUGUCUUUAUCUGUCAACUCCUCCAAAAUGUCAAAACACAAAGAAGAUAACUCUUUCUUAAAUUUUCAACCAUCAAUUUUUUAUUCACCCAGCCUAAAAGUCCUGAUUAUCAGUUCUGGGUCCCUGGCAAUGACUGUUGGGUACAAACUGCAAAGCUUUGUUCUGCAGGUAGGGCUGGGCUUUUCAUUGACCAUGGGUUGGAAUAGUUCUGUGGGCAUAGUGUGUCUUCGAAGCCACUAUGUUUUCUGCACUUGUGACUAGAGAACACCUUGAUAGCUCAGUUGGUAGAGCGGUGGACUGUAAGAUGCUCCUUGUGUGAAACGCCGUGAUCCUAAGGUCGCUGGUUCAACUCCAGCUCCAAGCACCUCCUUGUCAUUGGAAAUACCCCAAAGCCUUGUCUUUAUCUGUCAACUCCUCCAAAAUGUCAAAACACAAAGAAGAUAACUCUUUCUUAAAUUUUCAACCAUCAAUUUUUUAUUCACCCAGCCUAAAAGUCCUGAUUAUCAGUUCUGGGUCCCUGGCAAUGACUGUUGGGUACAAACUGCAAAGCUUUGUUCUGCAGGUAGGGCUGGGCUUUUCAUUGACCAUGGGUUGGAAUAGUUCUGUGGGCAUAGUGUGUCUUCGAAGCCACUAUGUUUUCUGCACUUGUGACUAGAGAGCACCUUGAUAGCUCAGUUGGUAGAGCGGUGGACUGUAAGAUGCUCCUUGUGUGAAACGCCGUGAUCCUAAGGUCGCUGGUUCAACUCCAGCUCCAAGCACCUCCUUGUCAUUGGAAAUACCCCCAAGCCUUGUCUUUAUCUGUCAACUCCUCCAAAAUGUCAAAACACAAAGAAGAUAACUCUUUCUUAAAUUUUCAACCAUCAAUUUUUUAUUCACCCAGCCUAAAAGUCCUGAUUAUCAGUUCUGGGUCCCUGGCAAUGACUGUUGGGUACAAACUGCAAAGCUUUGUUCUGCAGGUAGGGCUGGGCUUUUCAUUGACCAUGGGUUGGAAUAGUUCUGUGGGCAUAGUGUGUCUUCGAAGCCACUAUGUUUUCUGCACUUGUGACUAGAGAACACCUUGAUAGCUCAGUUGGUAGAGCGGUGGACUGUAAGAUGCUCCUUGUGUGAAACGCCGUGAUCCUAACGUCGCUGGUUCAACUCCAGCUCCAAGCACCUCCUUGUCAUUGGAAAUACCCCCAAGCCUUGUCUUUAUCUGUCAACUCCUCCAAAAUGUCAAAACACAAAGAAGAUAACUCUUUCUUAAAUUUUCAACCAUCAAUUUUUUAUUCACCCAGCCUAAAAGUCCUGAUUAUCAGUUCUGGGUCCCUGGCAAUGACUGUUGGGUACAAACUGCAAAGCUUUGUUCUGCAGGUAGGGCUGGGCUUUUCAUUGACCAUGGGUUGGAAUAGUUCUGUGGGCAUAGUGUGUCUUCGAAGCCACUAUGUUUUCUGCACUUGUGACUAGAGAGCACCUUGAUAGCUCAGUUGGUAGAGCGGUGGACUGUAAGAUGCUCCUUGUGUGAAACGCCGUGAUCCUAAGGUCGCUGGUUCAACUCCAGCUCCAAGCACCUCCUUGUCAUUGGAAAUACCCCCAAGCCUUGUCUUUAUCUGUCAACUCCUCCAAAAUGUCAAAACACAAAGAAGAUAACUCUUUCUUAAAUUUUCAACCAUCAAUUUUUUAUUCACCCAGCCUAAAAGUCCUGAUUAUCAGUUCUGGGUCCCUGGCAAUGACUGUUGGGUACAAACUGCAAAGCUUUGUUCUGCAGGUAGGGCUGGGCUUUUCAUUGACCAUGGGUUGGAAUAGUUCUGUGGGCAUAGUGUGUCUUCGAAGCCACUAUGUUUUCUGCACUUGUGACUAGAGAGCACCUUGAUAGCUCAGUUGGUAGAGCGGUGGACUGUAAGAUGCUCCUUGUGUGAAACGCCGUGAUCCUAAGCUCGCUGGUUCAACUCCAGCUCCAAGCACCUCCUUGUCAUUGGAAAUACCCCCAAGCCUUGUCUUUAUCUGUCAACUCCUCCAAAAUGUCAAAACACAAAGAAGAUAACUCUUUCUUAAAUUUUCAACCAUCAAUUUUUUAUUCACUCAGCCUAAAAGUCCUGAUUAUCAGUUCUGGGUCCCUGGCAAUGACUGUUGGGUACAAACUGCAAAGUUUUGUUCUGCAGGUAGGGCUGGGCUUUUCAUUGACCAUGGGUUGGAAUAGUUCUGUGGGCAUAGUGUGUCUUCGAAGCCACUAUGUUUUCUGCACUUGUGACUAGAGAGCACCUUGAUAGCUCAGUUGGUAGAGCGGUGGACUGUAAGAUGCUCCUUGUGUGAAACGCUGUGAUCCUAAAUUCGCUGGUUCAACUCCAGCUCCAAGCACCUCCUUGUCACUGGAAAUACCCCCAUGCCUUGUCUUUAUCUGUCAACUCCUCCAAAAUGUCAAAACACAAAGAAGAUAACUCUUUCUUAAAUUUUCAACCAUCAAUUUUUUAUUCACCCAGCCUAAAAGUCCUGAUUAUCAGUUCUGGGUCCCUGGCAAUGACUGUUGGGUACAAACUGCAAAGCUUUGUUCUGCAGGUAGGGCUGGGCUUUUCAUUGACCAUGGGUUGGAAUAGUUCUGUGGGCAUAGUGUGUCUUCGAAGCCACUAUGUUUUCUGCACUUGUGACUAGAGAGCACCUUGAUAGCUCAGUUGGUAGAGCGGUGGACUGUAAGAUGCUCCUUGUGUGAAACGCCGUGAUCCUAAGGUCGCUGGUUCAACUCCAGCUCCAAGCACCUCCUUGUCAUUGGAAAUACCCCCAAGCCUUGUCUUUAUCUGUCAACUCCUCCAAAAUGUCAAAACACAAAGAAGAUAACUCUUUCUUAAAUUUUCAACCAUCAAUUUUUUAUUCACCCAGCCUAAAAGUCCUGAUUAUCAGUUCUGGGUCCCUGGCAAUGACUGUUGGGUACAAACUGCAAAGCUUUGUUCUGCAGGUAGGGCUGGGCUUUUCAUUGACCAUGGGUUGGAAUAGUUCUGUGGGCAUAGUGUGUCUUCGAAGCCACUCUGUUUUCUGCACUUGUGACUAGAGAGCACCUUGAUAGCUCAGUUGGUAGAGCGGUGGACUGUAAGAUGCUCCUUGUGUGAAACGCUGUGAUCCUAAGGUCGCUGGUUCAACUCCAGCUCCAAGCACCUCCUUGUCAUUGGAAAUAACCCCAAGCCUUGUCUUUAUCUGUCAACUCC
Non-coding RNA from Xyrichtys novacula (pearly razorfish), 4076 nucleotides. Lineage: Eukaryota; Metazoa; Chordata; Actinopteri; Labriformes; Labridae. The record is from the annotation of a GenBank genome assembly.